UACGGGGGGGGCAAGCGUUGUUCGGAAUUACUGGGCGUAAAGGGCUCGUAGGCGGCCAACUAAGUCAGACGUGAAAUCCCCGGGCUCAACCCGGGAACUGCGUCCGAGACUGGCAGGCUCGAAUCCGGGAGAGGGAUGUGGAAUUCCAGGUGUAGCGGUGAAAUGCGUAGAUAUCUGGAGGAACACCGGUGGCGAAGGCGGCAUCCUGGACCGGUAUUGACGCUGAGGCGCGAAAGCCAGGGGAGCAAACGGG
RNAcentral lists this ribosomal RNA (253 nucleotides) under uncultured bacterium. Its description in RNAcentral is "partial 16S ribosomal RNA". It matches the Rfam family "Bacterial small subunit ribosomal RNA", at positions 524 to 776 of the family's 1533-position model. The record is from RNAcentral.